GGUGCAUGCCUAUAAUCCCAGCUACUUGGGAGGCUGAGGCAGGAGAACUGCUCGAACCUGGCAGGUGGAUGCUGCAGUGAGCCAAGAUCGUGCCACUGCACUCCAGCCGGGGUAACAGAGUAAAACUUUGUCAAAAAAAAAAAAAAAAAAAAAAAAAGAAAAUACAGUUUGAAGUAGAUGUCAUCUUUUUCCACAUAUAAAUUUCAAGACAUAAAAGGCACACACAAACAAUUCAACUCCUCUCUUUUCAUAUAUGGGUUCUCACAGCAAUUUAAAAAAUCUAUUGCCAUAUCCAGACAACAGGAAAAAAA
Sapajus apella (tufted capuchin) is the source of this 311-nucleotide long non-coding RNA. RefSeq lists it as uncharacterized. The record is from RefSeq and is a predicted model, not a curated record. Lineage: Eukaryota; Metazoa; Chordata; Mammalia; Primates; Cebidae. The transcript has 2 exons.